Molecule: ribosomal RNA, 1307 nt
Filed under: Panesthia parva
Lineage: Eukaryota; Metazoa; Arthropoda; Insecta; Blattodea; Blaberidae
Description: 16S ribosomal RNA
Source: RNAcentral
GUGUAGGUUAAUAAUUUGUAUUAUAAAAAUCAUUUAAUUUGUUUUUGUAUUUGUUAAUGAUAUAAUUUUUUUUGUGAUAUAUUAUUUGUACUGUGAAGCUUGAUUGAAAUAAUAAUUAAUUUUUUAAUUAAGUUUAUUUUAUUUGUUGUACCUUGUGUAUCAGGGUUAAUUAAUUAUUUUUUAUUAAUUUUAUUAUUCUCGAUUUUAUAAGAGUUAAUUUAUUAUUUUAGUUAUUGUUUUAUAAAUAUUAAUAAUUAUAAAUUGGUAAUGAAAUGUUAAUCGUUUAUGAGGRUAUCUGGUUUUUUAGGAAAUAAAUUUAAUUUACAUUUUUUCUUUAAUUUUUUUUUUAAUAAUUUAUUUUUAGUUUAAAUGAUUAAUUAGGGGGAUAAGCUCUUUUUUAAAUUUCUAUGAUAUUUAAAUUUUUUUAAUUCGUGUGGAUUUAAUAAUGAUUAUCAUUAUAAGUAUAUUAAAAUUUUAUUUGUUUUUUGUUUGAUUUUAAUGGUUUCUAGUUUUGUACUAAAAAUUUUUAAUAAAUUUUUWUUUAAUUUUAAUUAUGAUUAAAUUAGUAUAUAAAUAUAAUAUUAAAUAUUUUUAAUAUAAUUGGGUUUGAGGAAUUAGGCAAGGAUUUAUUCGCCUGUUUAACAAAAACAUCUCUUCUUUAUUUAAAUAUGAAGUAUAACCUGCUCAAUGAGUAUUUAAAUAGCCGCGGUAUACUGACCGUGCAAAGGUAGCAUAAUCAUUAGUCUUUUAAUUGUAGGCUGGAAUGAAUGGUUGGACGAGAUAAAAUCUUUCUUAAAUUUAUUGAUUUGAAUUUAAUUAUUGUGUUAAAAAGCUCAAAUUUUUUUUUGGGACGAGAAGACCCUAUAGAGUUUUAUAAUUAAUAUUAUUUUUUUUAUUUGUUGUUUUGUAAAAUAGAAUUAAUUAUUUUGUUGGGGUGAUGUGAAGAUAUAAUUAACUCUUUUUAUUUAUUACUUAUGAAUUAAUAUUUUUUUGAUCCAUUUUUAUUGAUUAAAAGACUAAAUUACCUUAGGGAUAACAGCGUAAUCUUUUUUGAGAGUUCUUAUCGACAAAUAAAGGGUUGCGACCUCGAUGUUGGAUUAAGAUUAUUCUUGGGUGUAAAAGCUUAAGAUUUAGGUCUGUUCGACCUUUAAAUUCUUACAUGAUCUGAGUUCAAACCGGUGUAAGCCAGGUUGGUUUCUAUCUAUUAAUAAAUUUAAUAUUUUAGUACGAAAGGACCAAAUAUUGAAAAUAAUUUUUUUUUGUGAAUAAUAAUAAUAUUUAAUAACUAUUUUGGCAGAUAAGUGCAG